This 852-nucleotide unclassified non-coding RNA is filed under the name Zea mays. Its description in RNAcentral is "misc RNA Zm00001eb223820". Lineage: Eukaryota; Viridiplantae; Streptophyta; Magnoliopsida; Poales; Poaceae. The record is from RNAcentral.
GUCCAGAAUUUUUUUUUCCAGCACCUCCCUGUUCAUCUUCCUCCCAGCCGGCUUUCCUCCCCUGCUGUUGCUCGCCCCUUCCUCCUUUCCCUGGUGCUGCAGCAAGGAGCCCCUGCUCGGGCUGUAGCCGUGGCGUCCAAGUCUCUGCGCAGCAAUGCCGGUCCAAAAACUGCAGCCCCGUCACUUCCCUGGCUUCAUCGCUGCUUUGUGCUGAGCAGUGAACAGCACGCCGUCGACGCUCGCCGGGUGUUUGCUGUUUUUGCGCAGCCCCAUCCGCGACGUCUUUCACCCCCGGUGAGACAACGACGCUCCUUGUUUGAUUCCACAUCGGCGUUAUUUUCAUAUGAUUAAUUGUGUAUGUGUGCUGUUUUAUUUUUGUUUUGUGGAGGAGAGGCACCCCGUGUUUUGCGAGGAGAAGGCAAGCCGCUCGACGCUCGUCGAUGUUCGUAACGAUGCACAAAUCGGAAUCACCAUCGUCCUCACAAACACCGAUUGGGUUUGUUUAUGGACCGAGAGAUGAUGACCGUGCAAGUGAUGUGGUGCCAACCACAAGAUGCAGUUGGUGGACGUACUGAAGGAUGGUGGACUUAACCAGUGGGUGCUCGCCAAGCGAGUACCUCCCCCAGCAAACACUAUCUAAGUGUUAAACUAAAGGUACUCCUUAGGAUGAUUGGUUGAUGGUGUGACUUGGCCUUUAUCCCUGCCACCGGGAUAGAUGGUCGAGUGGGUUACUGCUUCCGCAGGAGAGGACCAGGAGGAGUAGUGUGGCCAGGCUUCGCCAUGUACUCGGUUUUCUCCGUUAGUUAUUUCCGCUGCAUUAAAACUUAUUGUUAUUAUUUCUGAAACUCCGAU